ACAGUAACACACACAUAGACAGUUAUACACACACAGGCAGGCAGUCACACAGAUAGAAGGUCACACACACAGGCAGGCAGUCACACACAGACAGAUAGUUACAGACAGACACACACAGGCAGGCAGGCAGUCACAUACAGGCAGUCACACACACAGGCAGUCACACACACAGACAGACAGUCACACACACAGACAGACACACAGACAGACAGUCUCACACACACAGGCAGUCACACACACGGGCA
Non-coding RNA from Pelobates cultripes (western spadefoot toad), 245 nucleotides. NCBI's taxonomy places the organism in Eukaryota, Metazoa, Chordata, Amphibia, Anura, Pelobatidae. The record is from the annotation of a GenBank genome assembly.